Molecule: non-coding RNA, 72 nt
Organism: Dipodomys ordii (Ord's kangaroo rat)
Lineage: Eukaryota; Metazoa; Chordata; Mammalia; Rodentia; Heteromyidae
Source: Rfam
GGGAAGGUGGCUCAGUGGUAGAGCACUUGCCUUGUAUGCAUGAGGCCCUGGAUUCAAUUCCUCAGCACCCCA